GAUGAACGCUGGCGGCGUGCCUAAUACAUGCAAGUCGAACGGGGAGUAGCAAUACUCUUAGUAGCGAACGGGUGAGUAACGCGUUGGUACCUGCCCCGAAGCGGGGGAUAACGGACCGAAAGGUCCGCUAAUACCCCAUGUGCUCGGUAACGAGUAAAGGUGAAAACCACUUUGGGAGGGGCCUGCGUCCCAUCAGCUAGUUGGUAAGGUAACGGCUUACCAAGGCGAUGACGGGUAGGGGACCUGAGAGGGUGGCCCCCCACAAUGGAACUGAAACACGGUCCAUACACCUAUGGGUGGCAGCAGUAGGGAAUAUUGGUAAUGGGCGCAAGCCUGAACCAGCAACGCCGCGUGUGCGAUGACGGCCUUCGGGUUGUAAAGCACUUUUGACUGGGACGAGGAAGGACGGUACCGGUCGAAUCAGCCUCGGCUAACUACGUG
This 441-nucleotide ribosomal RNA is filed under the name uncultured bacterium. RNAcentral's name for it is "partial 16S ribosomal RNA". It matches the Rfam family "Bacterial small subunit ribosomal RNA", at positions 28 to 507 of the family's 1533-position model. The record is from RNAcentral.